AUUGGGAUAUGUGCCCUUGACUAAUGAAGGUUCCUCCUUAAUCUGCGAAGUUUCUGCAAAGCUUGCUGAGAGACACCCACAGAGUGGAAACCAGGCAGAAGAGAAGACUCACAUGCCCACCUCACCGGCCAAAGAACCCUUGAGAGCAACAGCACAACGGAUGUCAGAGCCAGGACAUCCAAGAACAGGUCUACCAAUCCUGCAAGAAACACCAAACUGAAUUUCAAGAUAUCGUGAAAACAACUUACUGAAGCUUGGAGUUGGAACAAUUCUAGCUUAUUGAGGAGCUCUUCAAAUUAGAAGGCAACAUGUUCCACUGAUGAGAAAACCGGCAAAGACAGGUUAGGCAGAAGAAAAGAGAGAUGAGACAACGGACUGUGCCAACAAACUAAAAUUUUACCUGCUGCUAUGGAUAAAAUAGCUUUCUUUUUAGAAAUACUCAUGUUAAUAAACUCCUACAUGCGACAUA
This 469-nucleotide long non-coding RNA is filed under the name Homo sapiens (human). Its description in RNAcentral is "HSALNT0316073". Lineage: Eukaryota; Metazoa; Chordata; Mammalia; Primates; Hominidae. The record is from RNAcentral.